UUACUGUGAUGACUAUGGGGUGGACACCUUUGAAAUAACCAUGAAAGAAAGCAAUUCUGAGCAGC
Molecule: small nucleolar RNA, 65 nt
Organism: Procavia capensis (Cape rock hyrax)
Lineage: Eukaryota; Metazoa; Chordata; Mammalia; Hyracoidea; Procaviidae
Gene: SNORD58
Rfam family: Small nucleolar RNA SNORD58
About the family: snoRNA U58 is found in introns 1, 3 and 6 of the ribosomal protein RPL17 gene in humans. U58 is a member of the C/D class of snoRNA which contain C (UGAUGA) and D (CUGA) box motifs.
Source: Ensembl